UUCCGGUUGAUCCUGCCGGACCCGACUGCUAUCGGAUUGAGACUAAGCCAUGCGAGUCAACCCGCAAGGGUGGCGGACGGCUCAGUAACACGUAGUGAACCUGCCCUGGGGACGUGGACAACCAUGGGAAACUGUGGCUAAACCGCGAUAGGUCAUUGUUUCUGGAAUGGGCAAUGGCUCAAACCUACAUGGCCCCAGGAUGGCACUGCGGCCGAUCAGGUUGUUGGUGAGGUAAUGGCCCACCAAGCCUGUAACCGGUACGGGCUCUGAGAGGAGGAGCCUGGAGAUGGGCACUGAGACAAGGACCCAGGCCCUAUGGGGCGCAGCAGGCGCGAAACCUCUGCAAUAGGCGAAAGCCUGACAGGGUUACUCUGAGUGACUUUCGCUAAGAAAGUCUUUUGACAUCUGUAAAAAUGGUGUAGAAUAAGGGGUGGGCAAGUCUGGUGUCAGCCGCCGCGGUAAUACCAGCACCCCGAGUGGUCGGGACGAUUAUUGGGCCUAAAGCAUCCGUAGCCGGUUUUACAAGUCCUCCGUUAAAUCCAACUGCUUAACAGAUGGGCCGCGGAGGAUACUAUAAGACUAGGAGGCAGGAGAGGCAAGCGGUACUCAGUGGGUAGGGGUAAAAUCCGUUGAUCCAUUGAAGACCACCAGUGGCGAAGGCGGCUUGCCAGAAUGCGCUCGACGGUGAGGGAUGAAAGCUGGGGGAGCAAACCGGAUUAGAUACCCGGGUAGUCCCAGCUGUAAACGAUGCAGACUCGGUGAUGGACCAGCUUAAUGCUAGUCCAGUGCCGCAGGGAAGCCGUUAAGUCUGCCGCCUGGGUAGUACGGUCGCAAGACUGAAACUUAAAGGAAUUGGCGGGGGAGCACCACAAGGGGUGAAGCCUGCGGUUCAAUUGGAUUCAACGCCGGA
This 910-nucleotide ribosomal RNA is filed under the name uncultured crenarchaeote. RNAcentral describes it as "bacterial SSU rRNA". It matches the Rfam family "Archaeal small subunit ribosomal RNA", at positions 1 to 922 of the family's 1478-position model. Lineage: Archaea; Thermoproteati; Thermoproteota. The record is from RNAcentral.